RNAcentral lists this unclassified non-coding RNA (389 nucleotides) under Mus musculus (house mouse). Its description in RNAcentral is "partial miscellaneous RNA". The record is from RNAcentral. Lineage: Eukaryota; Metazoa; Chordata; Mammalia; Rodentia; Muridae.
CGAGCACUGUUUCCAACAAAAAUCUAGGAUCUUGGCAGUAACCACUAUCUGUUUUACUCUUUCCUCUUUCACUUUUCGCUAGGAGUAAUCAUUAGCUCCCAUCUUGUAUUAAUUUUUUUUUUUUUUUACUGUAUCUAAUUUCCAAAAAAAAAAAAUCUGUGUGUUUGCAACUAAGUUAUCUUCCUAUGUGUAACUUUUUGGGACUUAAGUGAUAACAGUAAUAUUACUAAAAAUCAACCGUAUUGUUGUUUUUCACUGUGGUUUAUUCCUUCUGACUGCUGUGAUAUUUUGUGUGGAUCUGCUGAAGUUAAUUUAUCCACUCUUCUGUUGAUGGGCCUUUGGUCAUUUCCAGGUUUUUGCUCUUCUGAAGAGCAUGAGAUAUUCUUUCA